GGUUGGUCCAAGCGCAAUGGUGUUUACCACUAAAUUGUUCACAACCAGUGACAGAUUGUUUUGUUCCUUCUCUACUCCAAUUUCAUUUGACUAGCCUUAA
This 100-nucleotide Y RNA is filed under the name Microcebus murinus (gray mouse lemur). Its description in RNAcentral is "Y RNA (ENSMICG00000025192.3)". It matches the Rfam family "Y RNA". From Rfam's summary of the family: Y RNAs are components of the Ro ribonucleoprotein particle (Ro RNP), in association with Ro60 and La proteins. Lineage: Eukaryota; Metazoa; Chordata; Mammalia; Primates; Cheirogaleidae. The record is from Rfam by way of RNAcentral.